This 821-nucleotide ribosomal RNA is filed under the name uncultured marine Prymnesiales. RNAcentral's name for it is "SSU rRNA". It matches the Rfam family "Eukaryotic small subunit ribosomal RNA", at positions 441 to 1265 of the family's 1831-position model. The record is from RNAcentral. Lineage: Eukaryota; Haptophyta; Prymnesiales.
UUGCCCGAAUCCUGACACAGGGAGGUAGUGACAAGAAAUAACGAUACAGGGCUACAUCUAGUCUUGUAAUUGGAAUGAGUACAAUUUACAUCUCUUAACGAUGAUCAAUUGGAGGGCAAGUCUGGUGCCAGCAGCCGCGGUAAUUCCAGCUCCAAUAGCGUAUAUUAAAGUUGUUGCAGUUAGAACGCUCGUAGUCGGAUUUCGGGGCAGUCCGACCGGUCUGCCGAUGGGUAUGCACUGGCCGGAGUGUCCUUUUUGCCGGAGACCGUGCCUACUCUUAACUGAGCGGGGGCGGGAGACGGCACUUUUACUUUGGAAAAAUCAGAGUGUUUCAAGCAGGCAGCUCGCUCUUGCAUGGAUUAGCAUGGGAUAAUGAAAUAGGACUUUGGUGCUAUUUUGUUGGUUUCGAACACCGAAGUAAUGAUGAGAAGGGACAGUCAGGGGCACUCGUAUUCCGCAGAGAGAGGUGAAAUUCUCAGACCCGCGGAAGACGAACCACUGCGAAAGCAUUUGCCAGGGAUGUCUUCACUGAUCAAGAACGAAAGUUAGGGGAUCGAAGAUGAUCAGAUACCGUCGUAGUCUUAACCAUAAACCAUGCCGACUAGGGAUUGGAGGAUGUUCACUGAUUGACUCCUUCAGCACCUUACGGGAAACUAAAGUCUUUGGGUUCCGGGGGGAGUAUGGUCGCAAGGCUGAAACUUAAAGGAAUUGACGGAAGGGCACCACCAGGUGUGGAGCCUGCGGCUUAAUUUGACUCAACACGGGGAAACUUACCAGGUCCAGACAUUGUGAGGAUUGGCAGAUUGAGAGCUCUUUCUUGA